CGGUGAGAUCAUACCAGCGUUAAUACGUUGGAUCCCAUCAGAAUUCCGCAGUUAAGCGCACUUGGGCCAGAGUAGUACUGGGAUGGUUGACCUCCCGGGAAGUCCUAGUGUUGCACCCU
Non-coding RNA from Picea glauca (white spruce), 119 nucleotides. The record is from Rfam. Lineage: Eukaryota; Viridiplantae; Streptophyta; Pinopsida; Pinales; Pinaceae.